GCUUAUUACAAUCUACUUAUACAGAGUGGAAUAUUGUAAGGACAAUACCUAAAUGGAAGUAAAAUAAGCACAGCAUCAGGGAGGGGAUUUUCAGGUUUUUCAUCCUCCUGUACAAUUGGUUAUGGUAGUUAGGUUUCAGUUUGUGAUAAGGAUAAAAAGUGAGAUAAAUAGUAUGAAGCUAGAGUGAGGCAUCAAUUUGGGGGAGAACACUUGUAUAUACAGCCUGAAUGAAAUUUUGGCGGCUCUUGAGCAUCAAGAUAAGGCACGAAUCUGGUUUUGAAUCGUCAAGAUAAGCUAACUUGAGCAAGGGUUUUUGGUUGUGGAGCAGCUUGAGGAGUGUUGAUGCAUUGGCGAAGUAGUUUUCUGGAUCUGAGGUUUGGCUCUGCUUUUUGUCACCAUGACUGCUGAGAGAGUUGAUUCAAAUACGGACUCGGCAAGUCUUCUGAAUGGCGGCUACGAAGACCAGGGUUACAGAGCAAGUCAAUAUUAUUUAGCCAGACAAACCUUUCUUCGGAGUUAUCAUUUCUCUGUAGAAGAAACCUUCAAAGAUAAGCUUCGGAAGUCCAUCCGCAGGCUUAAGGAGGAAUCUUUGGAAGAAAUUGUGAAGGAAUCUCUACAAAAUUUGAUGAAAGCGUUGAAAGGCUUUAUGAGCCGCCGUUACGAAAAUCUUGUUGAGGGACAUUUGAAGAAGAAGAGGAAUCUGUCGGUCGGUGCCUGUUUUCCAUCACUGCACAAUCCUGCAGCAACUCGGAAGGUUUUGAGCUAUUGUUCCUGAUCAAUUGGUGCUCUGCUGUUCUUAAUUUUCACUUUGCCUUUUCUGUGCUUGUACGUUCAUUCUGUUUUUUCCCCUGCGUUUAUAAUAAAUAUUUUAUUCGAAAUUCUCUGUUGUUUUAUACAGAGUUCCAUUGGACUGAAAAGCAUAUUAUUUACCAGCAGAGAAAAUUGAUUGUAUAGAAAAUAAAUGUUCCCUUUGACUGCAACUGGGAAACUGACAGUAUCCACGCAAACCCUGUGGAUCAUACUGUAAUCUUUGUUAUAAUUUGGGUAAAAUAAGUCACCGGUUGCUUAAGCUGGUCUGAAUGUAAAUAUCAGAUGACAAUCUCUCUUCCCCCUCUUGGUCUGCAACUUUAUCCAUUCCUAUUCUUAUGACAAUCUCUUUUCCAGUGGGAAGGUAAAUUGAAAAGUGGGAAGGUAAAUUGAAAAGUUCCAGUGGCAGGAAAUUUUGAAGUAGAAGGCAAAUUGAAAUUUCUAUUGAGGGUAAAUUGGAGAAAUAGAUCUUUUUUUAAAUAUAUAAAAUUUGAAAAUAUGAAGAAUCAUUUUAAAUUGUUUUUAUUAAGUAAUUUGUCAUUCAUCUUGGAAGAGAUAUCCAAACAUAAUUUGGGGAUCUUGUCAUUAUCCAGCCAAUUUGAGGCAUCUUGUUACAUGACUAAUCACUGUAGUCAUGCUUAUACCCUCAAAAAUUCCAUUAUGGUGAUUGUGUAGGAAGAGCCACUUCAUUUUGUAUUUCAUUACUGUGUUAUUCAUCAUAGAAGAGAUAACCAAACAUAAUGUCAAACCUUGUCAUUGUCUAGCUAACAUGUAGUAGACUAUCAAAUGACUAACAAUUAAUAGAAGGUGUGUUUAUGGGAAAGCCAUAUGAGUCAUGGAAAUUAUGCCUAGUUCAGCCAUGAAAAGAGAUGGGUCCUUGUGAGAAGGGGAAGUUAGUACAAGUAUAACAAUGCAAGCAACACUAAUCCAAUUCCCAAUAAGAGUAUGCAAAUAAGCAACUUCAAGGAAAACCUAGUUAGCUUGCAUCUAAGUGUAGAAGAACAUUCAAACCAACCAUAGAUUUAGUAUACACAACAAAAUGAGAGUCAAUUAAAGCUCUUAAAAAAAGAGUUGAGUAUCUAUAUUUCCAUACACACUAAACAUAAUUUUCACUCUAAAAAAUGUCAAAAUUAGGUGAUCUUAGUUGACAUUUGUUGUGGUCAUUCAAUCAUUUGAUACAUGAAAAGAGAUCAAAUAUAAAAGCCUUAAAGAGAUCAAGUAUCAAAAUCUAAGCAAUUUGAGCCCAUUGGCAAAACUAUAAGAAGUGAUUGAAUGUUUCUAGAUGACUACAAAAAGAACAACAUGGAUUAUCAACACUUAAAUGGAUCAAAUGAGAACCACUUGGGAGACCCUAGUAAAGAAUUUACCAAGCAAAAUAAGAGAACUUGGGUUCCAAAAUGGAUGAACAAACUACAUGAAAUUUGUGUUCCCAAAUAGUAGCCAUAGAUUGCAAACCACAUAUGUUUUAUUAGAUUAAUCAGCAUAGUAUUACAAGGAGGAGAGAAACAUUUUUUUAACAAAUGUUUAAAAUAGUAAAAGAUAUUGAAUAGAAUGUCAAUCAAGUUAUCAAUAGAUAUGAUUUUAUAAAAUAGAGAAAGUACAAUAAGAAAAACAUUAGAGACAAAAAUAAUUCAGUGAUCUUUAUCUUGAUGACAAAUUAUAAAAUGUAAUCUAGAAUAUUUGAUACAAAACUUCAUAACUCAAAAUAAUCUAGAACAUCAAUACAAAAUUAUAUAAUUCAAAAUAAUCUAAAACAUUAAUAUAAAACUUCGUAGAUAAGUUUUGACUCUACUUAAAAACAAAAAAAACUAUUCAAAAUAAAAUUAAGCAUUUUUUAAUUGCUUUGCUUAUAGAAAAGUAGUAAGUCUUUAAAUACAAAUUACAAUCCUCUCUUUUGCAAAGUAUUUAUUUCAACCAAACUCCCUUAAAUGACAUAAUGAUGUGUUUCUUUUUCCUCACACUUACUCUACUUUUUACCUGUUCCCCUUCCAAUUCAAUCCUCCUCCUUCCGAAUAUUCUGGCGGCUUGCGUCAGUUUGUACUGCGCCAAAACAUAAAAUUUAAAAUAUUAAAAAGCUGUGCAGGAAAAAGAUAGCGAAUCAGAUUCUGUGUAUUCCAGAAUCCACAACACGAGUGUUUUAAAGUCUGUCAACAAACAAAAGUAAAUUUAGCCGGUUAUGUCUUAGGAUACGGUUUUAUGGAAGGAACCUCAGGGUUUAACUGGAAUUUUAUUUUGAAAUUGUCUUUAAUUUUUUUAUUUUUUCUUAAUUUUGUUUUUUAUAAAAUUUUAAUUUUCUAUCUUUGAAAGCAUAAAUAAUCACAUUGUUAAGUAAGUAGCUGAUAUUUUGAGUUUGAAUUAUAAUAUAUAAAUUUUUUUUUAAUUAAAUAUUAAAAUUAAUAUUCCGUCUAAAGAUUUUUUAUGAAUUGAAUUUUUUUUUUUUUUUGGAUAACUCCCUCCAUAGGACCAUAGGCUUAUUACAAUCUACUUAUACAGCAGAGGUGGAAUAUUGUAAGGACAAUACCUAAAUGAAAGCAAAAUAAGGACAGCAUCAGGGAAGGGAAUUUCAGGGUUUUUAUUCUCCUGUAGAAUUGGUUAUGGUGGUUAGGUUUCAGUUUGGGAUAAGGAUAAUAAGUGAGAUAAAUAGUAUGAAGCUGAAGUGAGGCAUCAAUUUGGGGGAGAACACUUGUAUAAACACGCUGAAUGAGAUUUCGGCGGCUCUUGAGCAUCAGGAUAAGGCACAAAUCUGGUUUUGAAUCGUCAAGAUAAGCCAACUUGAGCAAUGAUUUUUGGUUGUGGAGCAGGUUGAGUGUUGAUGCAGUGGCGAAGUAGUUUUCUCAAUCUGAGGGUUUGGCUCUGCUUUUUAUCGCCAUGACUGCUGACAGAGUUGAUUCAAAUACGGACUCGUCAAGUCUUCUGAAUGGUGGCUGCGAAGACCAGGGUUACAGAGCAAGUCAGUAUUAUUUAGCCAGACAAACGUUUCUUCGGAGUUAUCAUUUCUCUGUAGAAGAAAGCUUCAAAGAUAAGCUCAGGAAGUCCAUCCGCAGGCUUAAGGAGGAAUCUUUGGAAGAAAUUUUGAAGGAAUCUCUUCAAAAUUUGAUGAAAGCGUUGAAAGGCUUUAUGAACCGCCGUUACGAAAAUCUUAUUGAGGGAAAUUUGAAGAAGAAGAAGAAUCUGUCGGUUGGUGCCUGUUUUCCAUCACUGCACAAACCUGCAGCUACACGGAAGGUUCUGAGCUAUUGUUCCUGAUCAAAUGGUGUUCUGCUAUACUUAAUAUUCACUUUGCCUUUUCUGUUCUUGUACAUUCAUGCUUUUUUCCUUUUUUCUCUGCGGGCUAUAAUAAAGAUUUAUUCGAAAUUCCCUUUUUCGGUA
This is a long non-coding RNA of Cryptomeria japonica (Japanese cedar), 4176 nucleotides long. RefSeq lists it as uncharacterized. NCBI's taxonomy places the organism in Eukaryota, Viridiplantae, Streptophyta, Pinopsida, Cupressales, Cupressaceae. The transcript has 3 exons. The record is from RefSeq and is a predicted model, not a curated record.